GUGCUCACUUGGGCAGCACAUAUACUAAAAUUGGAAUAAUACAGAAAAGAUUGGCAUGGCCCCUGUGCGAGGAUGACAUGCAAAUUUGUGAAGUGUUCCAUGUUUUU
This 107-nucleotide small nuclear RNA is filed under the name Dasypus novemcinctus (nine-banded armadillo). Lineage: Eukaryota; Metazoa; Chordata; Mammalia; Cingulata; Dasypodidae. The record is from RNAcentral.